Molecule: RNA transcript, 6423 nt
Organism: Xiphophorus maculatus (southern platyfish)
Lineage: Eukaryota; Metazoa; Chordata; Actinopteri; Cyprinodontiformes; Poeciliidae
Gene name: mitochondrial Rho GTPase 1-A
Exons: 20
Source: RefSeq, a predicted model, not a curated record
UCACUGUAGCAGCCCGGUGUUGGAGGUCGGGCAUGCUCCUGAAACGUCCACUGCGAACCGAUCCACCGAAAUGAGCGCGAUUAAGAUGAAAAUACACACAAGCAAGACACAGGAACGUUUUUAAAUCGUAUUUUUGCCCAGCUGCUAACCUGCGACUUGACGCAAACCGUGGAGGAGCCGCAGAAGAGCUUUGGGAAGUGUCCGUCCGUUUUGUCCUACAAAGGCGGCGGGUGUUUGACAGCGGGAGGGCCCGACGUUAGGAAACCGCUGCGGCUGGAGGAGGAGGAGGCAGGAGAAGAAGGAAGAAGGCUCCCUGAAGACUCAAUGAAACAUUAAGGAGUCAUUUUUGCUGAGGGAAGCGAGCUGAAUCAUGAGGAAGGACGUGAGGAUACUCCUCGUUGGAGAGCCCAAGGUGGGGAAGACGUCACUGAUCAUGUCUCUGGUUAGUGAGGAGUUUCCUGAUGAGGUUCCUCUCAGAGCUGAAGAGAUCACCAUCCCAGCUGAUGUGACCCCAGAGAGGGUUCCCACACACAUCGUGGAUUACUCUGAAGCAGAGCAGACUGAUGAGCAACUCUAUCAAGAAAUAUCCAAGGCAAACGUGAUCUGCAUAGUUUAUUCAGUAAACAACAAGAAGUCCAUCGAAAAGGUGACAAGCCACUGGAUUCCUCUUAUAAACGACCGCACAGAUAAAGACAGCAGGGUACCACUGAUUCUCGUGGGGAACAAGUCGGACCUGGUGGAGCACAGCAGCAUGGAGACCAUCCUGCCCAUCAUGAAUCAGUACCAGGAUAUUGAGACCUGUGUAGAGUGUUCUGCCAAGAACCUGAAGAACAUCUCUGAGCUUUUCUACUACGCCCAGAAGGCUGUUCUCCACCCGACUGGACCCCUAUACUGCCCAGAAGAGAAGGAGUUGAAACCUUCCUGCAUUAAGGCUUUAACUCGGAUAUUUAAAAUCUCCGACCUGGACAACGAUGGGGUCCUGAACGACAACGAACUCAACUUCUUCCAGAAAACCUGUUUCAAUACGCCUUUGGCACCUCAAGCCUUAGAAGAUGUGAAGAACGUGGUGAGGAGGAACAUGACCGACGGAGUCAGAGAUAACGGACUCACCCUCAAAGGCUUCCUCUUCCUGCACACUCUGUUCAUCCAGCGAGGUCGACACGAAACCACAUGGACGGUGCUGAGGAGGUUCGGAUACGACGACGACCUGGAGCUCACGCAGGAAUAUCUGUUCCCUCUGAUAAAAGUCCCUCCAGACUGCACCACCGAGCUAAACCACAAUGCUUACCUCUUUCUGCAGAGUGUCUUUGACAAACACGACAAAGACAGAGACUGUGCGCUUUCCCCAGAGGAAGUGAAGGACCUGUUCAACGUAUUUCCCUACAUGCCCUGGGGUCCAGAUGUCAACAACACGGUGUGCACCAACGAUGAGGGAUGGAUCACAUACCAGGGAUACCUCUCCCAGUGGACGUUAACAACAUAUCUGGACGUCCAGAGGAGUCUGGAGUAUUUAGGUUACCUCGGCUACUCCAUCAUCUAUGAACAGGAGUCCCAAGCUGCUGCUAUUACUGUGACGCGUAACAAGCGCAUAGAUCUGCAGAAGAAACAAACUCAGCGAAGCGUCUUCCGGUGUAACGUGUUGGGGGCGCGCGGCAGCGGGAAAAGUGGCUUCCUGCAAGCCUUCCUCGGCAGAAACCUGCAGAGACAGAUGCGGAUCAGAGAAGACCACAAGUCCUACUAUGCCAUCAGCACGACCUAUGUUUACGGUCAGGAGAAGUACCUGCUGCUCCACGAGGUGAUGUCAGAUUUCGACAUCCUGUCCGAGCCCGACCUGUCCUGCGACGUGGUCUGCCUUGUGUACGACGUCAAUGAGCCUCGUUCCUUCGAGUACUGUGCUAAAGUCUACAAGGAAUGCUUCCUAGACAGCAAGACGCCCUGCGUCGUGGUCGCUGCCAAGUCCGACCUGCACGAGGUUCGGCAGCAGUACAGCCAGUCGCCGCUCGACUUCUGCCGCAAGCACAAGCUCCACCCACCGCAGCCAUUCACGUGCAACACGACCGAAGCGCCCAGUAAGGACCUCUACACCAGACUCACCACCAUGGCCAUGUACCCCCACGCCCGCCUCCGCUGCAUGUGUUCCUGCAACAGGUGCACUUAUUGCCUGUGUCAAAACCUCCUCAAGUUGGAGCUGCUGCGCAGCAUUAAGGCGCAACUCUGCAGGGUCGUUUACAACAGGUUCAUACACAGAUGUAGCCGUAGUGUUUUUACCAUAGACUCCCUGCUCUUCCUCUCCAGACUCAGUAACACUGCUGGCAGUCGUAGCUCCUCUGCUCUCCCUCAGUUUUUGGCAGCAGUCAGAUUUCCUCUGCAUUUCCACUGCAGGAACUAAAACAGUUGCAUUAGUUGCAGAACAGGAAUGGUUUUGGUUUUUGUCACAGUGGGAGGCUGUUACAGGAAAAGACUUGAACACAUCAAUGCACCCGUAUGUGUCGGAUCAUUUUAAAUGAGACAUCCUCGUUCAUUUGGUGUUGGAUGUCUUGGUUUCUGCUGCAGCUCCAGCCGGCCGAGUCUCUCUCUGUUCAGUCUGGCACAUGGCGUUGUGACCAGCCUGUGCCGGCUAACACCCAGGCUGGUAGCCAGGGAGGUACCGUGUGUCUGCGUGGAAGUGGCGUGUUGCAUGCUGCAUGACUGCAGCGCUAGCUAAACGGACAGGAAAACAUUUUUGUUUUCAGAGGCAUUUUUAUUAAUAUGAGGAUUGAUUUAUUAAAGAUAGAGAAGUAAAUGCAACGUUUGCAUAUUUUUAAGCCAAAUAAUUAUAAGUUUGUCCCAAGGCUUGACAAUAUAAUUUCCCAAUUUCUUCUUACCAGAUACAAUUUCCAAUUUUAAGCAUUUUUUCCCUCAUUUCUUUUCUAAUAAAAAGAAAUUACAAUUGUCAGAAAAUAUUUUCAAAAAUAGCUUUUAUUGCAAUCGUCCCUUUUUAAGUUGUAUGUUGGAUUUUUAGGUCCUGACUGUGAGAGUUUUUAUUUAAUUACAAGUAUAUAGUCAUAACAUUAGUAGAAUAAAGACGAUUUUACCAGAAACAAAAUCUUAAAAAUAAUGAGAAAAAGUUUGUUUAAUGAGAAAAUAGUCCCUUCUUCAAAAUAUUCAGUUGUUUGCAUGAUUAUUUCAAAGUCUGGCUACAGAUAACUUGAUAAUGAUGUUUUAUUUAAGUAUUUAAAAAGUACUUCUGUAAAUUAUCUGCAUGCACUUUCCUAAUUUAAUGUGCUACUUUUGGACUUCUCAUAAACUUACUACUUUAUUCUUUUAAUAUUAUGACUUUAUUCUUGCAAUUUAAAAAAAUAAAUGAAUCUUAACCUGGUGCUACUAUCCCACCAUUGAGUUGACUUGAAUUCAAAGUCCAAAUAAAUAAAAGCUGUAAAACUUGCUUGUCAAACAACAUGGCCGCCCUGGGCGCUCUGACAUCACUCUGAACUAUGGAAUUCCAUGAAGUGCAUUUGUCAAAGAAAAAAAAUCCAGAUUUACCAAAAAUUAAAUGUUCAAAAACCUAAAAUAUUGAUAAAAUUACAUUUAUCAUCAAGCUGUAGUGUGGACUUAAUGUAACUUUUGAUGCAUUUUAAAGAUACAGAAAACAAACUAAAGCUUCUUUUAGCCUUUUCUAGCUUGUGUGAAUCGUCAGAUCAGUGAGCUGUUUGAUGCCUGAGUUCCUGCAGUGGAGUUACAGACUGUAAACUCUGACUUGUUUAUAUACAAAAUGAGAGAAACACAGCCAUUCUUCUGAGUUUGUGUUUCAUUCGCUCUGAAAACUUCAUUCUGUUCAGCAUGUUUAAUUUCUCCCUGAACUCAAAAAUCCAAAGUACUUGUUUUCUCUGGAUAACUUUAAUCAGCUGCUCGUCUGAUAAGAUUUGAUGUUUUCAGUCUCAUUUUGUCUUUUAUUUUCUUGCCUAACGCUGAAGUCUUAACACACAGUGGACCAUAAUAUUCCUGCUUUGUAUUUGAAUUUGAAUUGAACAUAAUCAGGUUGCGUCUGUGUCUCCUGUGUGUUAACGCCUGAUAAAUUUGAUUAACAGGCUUUUUGAAAUCAGAAUGUGUUUUUAUGUUUUUGAUUGAUUAAAUUGCACUGAUCACUUUAAUUUCAUCCUGUUUUUCUUUUCCCCCCACGCCUGUUAAUGUCUUUCCUCUCUGUAGGUGUUCAUAUCCGUGUUUCUGGCUGCCGCUUUUCCUCUUCCUCUUGCAUCUCUUAACCUUUUUUUAACACCUGAUGCCCUGACUUACUUGUUCUCUAGCUUUUAAAUUAAACCCAUGUUGGUGCUUAGCGAAAUGCUGCCAUCUACUGGUUUUGUUUGUCUCGAUAAUAACCGGAGCUCAGUGUUUUGAAUCUGGUGGGAGUUUGGUUUAAUCAGAGGGAGGGGAGUUGUCGGGUGUGGGAAUGUUUCUGAUAAAUUUGACCCGAAUGGAACCGGACCGUGCCACGUUUCAUUCAGUGCUAACUUUUUUUUGUUUCGAUUCCUUUUUCUUCUUCUUCUCGGUUAUUAAAGCAGCAGCUGUAGCUGUAGAUCAUCACAGCCAGCUGAGCUAGAACGACUUCAGGAAAUGCUUAGGAUUCAUUAAAGUUUCACAUCAGAACAGCCAGAAUGGUCACAAAGAUGAAUCUGGUAGUAAAUUAAAGAAUCAUAACAUCUUCAGGCUAUAAUAACAGGUUUAUCAUGGGACAGUAUUACUUUCCAGGCUGGCUAUUUUUUGGUGUGAACUGCUUUUAUUUGCUGUAUUUGUGGAGCUUUUUGUGUUUGAAUUCUAAAGAGAUGUGGAGCUGGGUGAAACUUUAUUUUAAUCAUUGUUCUUUUUUGUUUUAUCGUUUUAUAAGAUUCAAAGGAAACUUUUCUGUUAAUUAAAAAAAAGUGGAAUCACUACUUCUAAUUCAUUGAUUUGAUCAAAUUCAACAACCUUUAACAGUAUAAAGCUUGAAGAUUUUAGAUUUAUACACCUUUUUAAAAAAAAACAUUUAAUGUUUACUUCUGAAUCCACUGUCAGUUAUUGUAAAAAUGAACUUUUUUUAAUUGCAACAUUAAAAUAUAGUUUAAUACAAUCAUACAAUUAUAUUAUAGGAUGCAUUAAGAUUCUUCCAUUGUUUUGAAUUUGGAAGAAAUUCAGUGAUGAACCUUUAACAAAAGAGCUUCACAAUUAAUGCAGUUUGUCAAUUGUCAUUGCAUAUGAAACCAACCAAUUAACUUUAGAUUUUAACAUUCAUUUAAUAUAGUACAUAGCUAUGUAUUCAUAACUGAAAUCUUAAACAUGAGACUAUCAGUAUUAGGGAUUAAAGGGAUUUACUAGGCGAAAAGUCUAAUUAUGAAUUGUUUAAAAUAUAUAUAUUUUAAAGAAUUGUGGUCAUUUUGAGGUUCUCUGAUGUUUGAUAUUAGUUUCCUUCUGUAUCAGAGAUAAUAAACUAGAGGUCAUAAUUAGGAUUUUCCCUUCACUCCCAGAGAGUUUUAGGAUCUCGAUCACCUAAAUCUCUACUGGGAUGAUCAUUGAAUGCCCACUUACUGGCCACUUUAUUAAGUACACCUUGCUGCUACCAGGAUGGACAGUUUUUUUCUGUGGAAAAGACUCCACAGGGUUUCUGGAACAUUCCUUGUUUGCUCCGUAUUAACAGGAAAGGAUUGUAUAGUUGGUUGAAGUUUUGUCUUCUGCACAUCCACGAUUCAUAUGAUGCUUCUACCAAUCGCCCCUAUAGUACUACAGAUCAGUGAGAUCUGUUGAUUAAUCACUUCAAACACCAACAAGCCAUUUUCUGACCCCUGACUUGAAAUGUUUGCAUUUAGUCUCUUAAAUUUUUGUUUUUCCACGUUUUGAUGUGGAAGAACAAAAGUCGUAAUUACCACAUCCUGAUGCCUAAACCCACUAAGUCUCUGCUUUGUGAUUUGGCAGCCAAAUCGGUGUACAUAAUAAAGUUGCUCAAACAGCCUUGUGAUUAUUAAACUUCACGCACUGAUAUUGAUAUUCCUGUAUCGUGCAGGUUAAAAUUAAACAAACCACCUUGGAUUUAAUAUGAAUGUUAAUGCCGUUUGUAAAUUCCUAAUAAUAAAACAGUAACAGAUGCACCACUAACCUAUAGUUGCAGCCCCAGUGUGUAUAAUUCUGCGGUAUCUCCCAGCUUCACCUGCUGUGUGGCGUUGUGACUGUGUUUGUGGGAACGCUGCUGGGCUGGGUGGAAGUAGCUCUGAGCUUCCUGCUGUCAGGGGAGGAUUUCAGGCUGGUGCUGCAGGUUAGACGGUCAUCUCCAACAUGGAGGAGCCCGCUUAUAUGAAGGCCUCCGCUUGAGCAGCCAGCUUCUCCACAAAGGCACAUGGCCCAGGCGGACCUGAAGAACUCCACCUUCUGGCUGAGGGCCAGCCUCGGUGCCACCGUGUUCGCAGUGUUGGGCUUCGC